GCUGGGUGUAGUGGCCUACACCUGUAAUCCUAACUACUCCAGAGGCUGAGGCAGGAGGAUUGCAAGUUGAAGGCCAGGCUGGUCAACUUAAUGAGAUCCUGUCUCAA
RNAcentral lists this small RNA (107 nucleotides) under Marmota monax (woodchuck). Lineage: Eukaryota; Metazoa; Chordata; Mammalia; Rodentia; Sciuridae. The record is from RNAcentral.